Molecule: ribosomal RNA, 557 nt
Filed under: uncultured bacterium
Lineage: Bacteria
Description: partial 16S ribosomal RNA
Rfam family: Bacterial small subunit ribosomal RNA
Source: RNAcentral
UAGGGAAUCUUCCACAAUGGACGCAAGUCUGAUGGAGCAACGCCGCGUGAGUGAAGAAGGUUUUCGGACCGUAAAGCUCUGUUGUUGGUGAAGAAGGAUAGAGGUAGUAACUGGCCUUUAUUUGACGGUAAUCAACCAGAAAGUCACGGCUAACUACGUGCCAGCAGCCGCGGUAAAUACGUAGGUGGCAAAGCGUUGUCCGGAUUUAUUGGGCGUAAAGCGAGCGCAGGCGGAAGAAUAAGUCUGAUGUGAAAGCCCUCGGCUUAACCGAGGAAUUGCAUCGGAAACUGUUUUUCUUGAGUGCAGAAGAGGAGAGUAGAACUCCAUGUGUAGCGGUGGAAUGCGUAGAUAUAUGGAAGAAUACCAGUGGCGAAGGCGGCUCUCUGGUCUGCAACUGACGCUGAGGCUCGAAAGCAUGGGUAGCGAACAGGAUUAGAUACCCUGGUAGUCCAUGCCGUAAACGAUGAGUGCUAAGUGUUGGGAGGCUUCCGCCUCUCAGUGCUGCAGCUAACGCAUUAAGCACUCCGCCUGGGGGAGUACGACCGCAAGGUUGAAAC